UACGGUAGGGGGCUAGCGUUGUCCGGAAUCAUUGGGCGUAAAGAGCGUGUAGGCGGCCAGGUAGGUCCGUUGUGAAAACUCGAGGCUCAACCUCGAGACGUCGGCGGAAACCCUCUGGCUAGGAGUCCGGAAGAGGAGAGUGGAAUUCCUGGUGUAGCGGUGAAAUGCGCAGAUAUCAGGAAGAACACCCGUGGCGAAGGCGGCUCUCUGGGACGGUACU
Molecule: ribosomal RNA, 220 nt
Filed under: uncultured bacterium
Lineage: Bacteria
Description: partial 16S ribosomal RNA
Rfam family: Bacterial small subunit ribosomal RNA
Source: RNAcentral